UCCUCGGUAGCUCAGUUGGUAGAGCAGUUGACUGUUAAUCAAUUGGUCGUAGGUUCGAGUCCUACCCGAGGAGCCA
This 76-nucleotide transfer RNA is filed under the name Candidatus Pelagibacter sp. RNAcentral's name for it is "tRNA-Asn". It matches the Rfam family "tRNA". From Rfam's summary of the family: Transfer RNA (tRNA) molecules are approximately 80 nucleotides in length. RNAcentral also lists the same sequence under 12 other names. Lineage: Bacteria; Pseudomonadati; Pseudomonadota; Alphaproteobacteria; Candidatus Pelagibacterales; Candidatus Pelagibacteraceae. The record is from RNAcentral.